CCUACGGGAGGCAGCAGUGGGGAAUAUUGCACAAUGGGGGAAACCCUGAUGCAGCGACGCCGCGUGAGUGAAGAAGUAAUUCGUUAUGUAAAGCUCUAUCAGCAGGGAAGAAAAUGACGGUACCUGAGUAAGAAGCCCCGGCUAACUACGUGCCAGCAGCCGCGGUAAUACGUAGGUGGCAAGCGUUGUCCGGAUUUACUGGGUGUAAAGGGCGUGUAGCCGGGCUGACAAGUCAGAUGUGAAAUCCGGGGGCUCAACCCCCGAACUGCAUUUGAAACUGUUGGUCUUGAGUAUCGGAGAGGCAGGCGGAAUUCCUAGUGUAGCGGUGAAAUGCGUAGAUAUUAGGAGGAACACCAGUGGCGAAGGCGGCCUGCUGGACGACAACUGACGGUGAGGCGCGAAAGCGUGGGGAGCAAACAGGAUUAGAUACCCGAGUAGUC
RNAcentral lists this ribosomal RNA (440 nucleotides) under uncultured bacterium. RNAcentral describes it as "partial 16S ribosomal RNA". It matches the Rfam family "Bacterial small subunit ribosomal RNA", at positions 338 to 795 of the family's 1533-position model. The record is from RNAcentral.